This is a long non-coding RNA of Pan troglodytes (chimpanzee), 762 nucleotides long. RefSeq lists it as uncharacterized. The record is from RefSeq and is a predicted model, not a curated record. The transcript has 6 exons. Lineage: Eukaryota; Metazoa; Chordata; Mammalia; Primates; Hominidae.
GAGAACAAUGUCUUACAACAGACCAGUUCAUUCACAAACCAUCCUUUAGCCAAAGCUUUGAGAAAAAGUCUCCCUAAGAAAAAGAAUGACAAAUGUUAUGGCACUGUCUAAAAGCACUUAAAGAAUCCAGAGGAAGAAUGUUCCAAAAAUCCGCGGCAAGACUAAAUAUUUGGGGUGUGAUGUGUGACAAUCAAGAGCCUUAAAAGAAGUUUUCAGUCUUCAGUACACACUUGAUAUGAGGCAACCAAAAAAAAUACUUGAUCUACCAACAACAUAUGAGGUGGAGAAAGCUCUGCUAUUAUCAGCCACAGGAAACAUAGUAGACCAUCAUUCACUUCAAUUUGCAUGAGUUAAGAGCCCAACUGGUGGUGAGGAACGAAGGAGCAGGGAUAGUACUACAGAGGACAAAGAAGAAAAUAAAGUGGCCCUGUCCUAUCACUAAAGCCAAUGCUUUGUCUCAAGAAAUCAGUGAGCUGUGGCCAACUGGAAUAAUUUUUGUCCUCUAAAACACAAAGGAAGUCGUACAUAGCUCCUUUUCCUACAGGAAAAACAACAUGGUAUAAUGGAAGAAGAACAUAUUCUAAAAUAAGCUGCCAGAGCUGAGAAACUGCAAAAGGGACUGCCUAAAAUACUAUCUGGCCCUUUACAAAAAUGUCUGCGGACCCCCAUUCUAAGUGCUCGAAAGCAUUCAACAUUCAUUGAUAAAUAUUUGUUAAGCAUCUGUUAUGUGCCAGGCAUGGAAGAAACUACAUUAUAAGUCUG